Molecule: ribosomal RNA, 325 nt
Filed under: uncultured eukaryote
Lineage: Eukaryota
Description: partial 18S ribosomal RNA
Rfam family: Eukaryotic small subunit ribosomal RNA
Source: RNAcentral
CCCUUAGAUGUUCUGGGCCGCACGCGCGCUACACUGAUGCAUUCAACGAGUCUAAAACCUGCUCUGAUAGGGGUGGGUAAUCUUUUGAAAGUGCAUCGUGAUAGGGAUAGACUAUUGCAAUUAUUGGUCUUCAACGAGGAAUUCCUAGUAGACGUAGUUCAUCAGACUGCAUCGAUUACGUCCCUGCCCUUUGUACACACCGCCCGUCGCUCCUACCGAUUGAAUGCUCAGGUGAGCCAUUCGGACUUUCAUCAUGCUGGUUUCCAGUUUUGAUGAAGGAAAGUCUUGCGAACCUUAUCAUUUAGAGGAAGGAGAAGUCGUAACA